Molecule: transfer RNA, 75 nt
Filed under: Pseudomonadota bacterium
Lineage: Bacteria; Pseudomonadati; Pseudomonadota
Also listed under: 3 other names
Description: tRNA-Thr
Rfam family: tRNA
About the family: Transfer RNA (tRNA) molecules are approximately 80 nucleotides in length. Their secondary structure includes four short double-helical elements and three loops (D, anti-codon, and T loops). Further hydrogen bonds mediate the characteristic L-shaped molecular structure. tRNAs have two regions of fundamental functional importance: the anti-codon, which is responsible for specific mRNA codon recognition, and the 3' end, to which the tRNAs corresponding amino acid is attached (by aminoacyl-tRNA synthetases). tRNAs cope with the degeneracy of the genetic code in two manners: having more than one tRNA (with a specific anti-codon) for a particular amino acid; and 'wobble' base-pairing, i.e. permitting non-standard base-pairing at the 3rd anti-codon position.
Source: RNAcentral
GCUCCAAUCGUAUAAUGGUUAUUACACGCCCUUGGUAAGGGCGAAAUGGCAGUUCAAUUCUGCCUUGGAGCACCA